UCCGCACGUGACCGCCUCCGGCAAGAUGGCAUUAGCGGAGGAACGGACGGAGCCGCCACCGAUCCCAGAUGUGCGCGCGUGUAGCAGCGGGAGAGGGCUGCGUCCAGCCGCCUGGCCCACGUCGGGAAUCUGGAAGGAGGAGGCGCCCCCACUGCAAGAACGAGGUUUGAGGUGCCAAACGCGGGCUCAGGCCACUUCCCGCUGACCUCACUACCGUGCUGGGAAAUAUUACCCCACUUUACAAACUUGCCCAAAGUCCCGCUGCUGGCUGGAUUUGAAUCCAGAUUUUUUUAAACCACCACUUGAAAGACAACUGACAACCAGAGAAAGAAAAAUGUACAAAUAAAGUAUCCAUAAUACUAGG
Leopardus geoffroyi (Geoffroy's cat) is the source of this 364-nucleotide long non-coding RNA. RefSeq lists it as uncharacterized. The record is from RefSeq and is a predicted model, not a curated record. The transcript is spliced from 2 exons. Lineage: Eukaryota; Metazoa; Chordata; Mammalia; Carnivora; Felidae.